RNAcentral lists this ribosomal RNA (253 nucleotides) under uncultured bacterium. RNAcentral describes it as "partial 16S ribosomal RNA". It matches the Rfam family "Bacterial small subunit ribosomal RNA", at positions 524 to 776 of the family's 1533-position model. The record is from RNAcentral.
UACGAAGGGGGCUAGCGUUGUUCGGAUUUACUGGGCGUAAAGGGUGCGUAGGUGGCGCUGUAAGUCGGGUGUGAAAUUUCGGAGCUUAACUCCGAAACUGCAUUCGAUACUGCGGUGCUUGAGGGCUGGAGAGGAGACUGGAAUUCAUGGUGUAGCAGUGAAAUGCGUAGAGAUCAUGAGGAAGACCAGUGGCGAAGGCGGGUCUCUGGACAGUUCCUGACACUGAGGCACGAAGGCCAGGGGAGCAAACGGG